ACACAGGAGAGGAGGUGGUCCGACGUUGAAUAGCUGCUGGACUUGUGAGGUGGCUGUCCGCUAGUACCACGGGACGAUCUCCGACGGCCGAUGGAAGCCGGAAUGUGGUACCGGCGAAUUCCAGGCAGUCACCCGCGAUCCCCGGGUUCGGGCCCGUCCAGCCCGAUCACGCGCCGUCAGGUGCGGCCCGGGGAUCACGCAUGUC
This 205-nucleotide small RNA is filed under the name Pseudonocardia benzenivorans CB1190. Its description in RNAcentral is "Pseudonocardia dioxanivorans CB1190 Actinobacteria sRNA Ms_IGR-5". It matches the Rfam family "Actinobacteria sRNA Ms_IGR-5". The record is from Rfam by way of RNAcentral. Lineage: Bacteria; Bacillati; Actinomycetota; Actinomycetes; Pseudonocardiales; Pseudonocardiaceae.